RNAcentral lists this transfer RNA (73 nucleotides) under Canis lupus familiaris (dog). It matches the Rfam family "tRNA". Rfam says of the family: Transfer RNA (tRNA) molecules are approximately 80 nucleotides in length. Their secondary structure includes four short double-helical elements and three loops (D, anti-codon, and T loops). Lineage: Eukaryota; Metazoa; Chordata; Mammalia; Carnivora; Canidae. The record is from Rfam by way of RNAcentral. RNAcentral also lists the same sequence under 1 other name.
AUCUGGCUAGCUCAGUCGGUAGAGCAUGUGACUCUUGAUCCUGGGGUCAUGAGUUCAAAUCCCGUGUUGGGUG